Molecule: ribosomal RNA, 492 nt
Filed under: uncultured bacterium
Lineage: Bacteria
Description: partial 16S ribosomal RNA
Rfam family: Bacterial small subunit ribosomal RNA
Source: RNAcentral
AGUGAACGCUGGCGGUAGGCCUAACACAUGCAAGUCGAACGGCAGCACAGUAAGAGCUUGCUCUUACGGGUGGCGAGUGGCGGACGGGUGAGGAAUACAUCGGAAUCUACUUUUUCGUGGGGGAUAACGUAGGGAAACUUACGCUAAUACCGCAUACGACCUACGGGUGAAAGCAGGGGAUCUUCGGACCUUGCGCGAUUGAAUGAGCCGAUGUCGGAUUAGCUAGUUGGCGGGGUAAAGGCCCACCAAGGCGACGAUCCGUAGCGGGUCUGAGAGGAUGAUCAGCCACACUGUAACUGAGACACGGUCCAGACUCCUACGGGAGGCAGCAGUGGGGAAUAUUGGACAAUGGGCGCAAGCCUGAUCCAGCCAUACCGCGUGGGUGAAGAAGGCCUUCGGGUUGUAAAGCCCUUUUGUUGGGAAAGAAAAGCAGCAGGUUAAUACCCCGCUGUUCUGACGGUACCCAAAGAAUAAGCACCGGCUAACUUCGUG